This 87-nucleotide unclassified non-coding RNA is filed under the name Pseudomonas psychrophila. Lineage: Bacteria; Pseudomonadati; Pseudomonadota; Gammaproteobacteria; Pseudomonadales; Pseudomonadaceae. The record is from RNAcentral.
UAUGGAAGCGGGCUUGCUCGCGAUGCAGAAAAUGCGAUCUGUCUGUUGAACCGCAGUGCCUGUAUCGCGAGCAAGCCCGCUCCCACA